GACGAACGCUGGCGGCGUGCCUAACACAUGCAAGUCGAACGAGGUCCAAGGAAGCUUGCUUCCUGAAGACCUAGUGGCGAACGGGUGAGUAACACGUGAGAAACCUGCCUCGGAGUGGGGAAUAACUCGGGGAAACUCGAGCUAAUACCGCAUACCUUCACAUGAUCGCAUGGUCGAGUGAAGAAGAAUUUCGCUCUGAGAGGGUCUCGCGGCCUAUCAGCUUGUUGGUGGGGUAACGGCCUACCAAGGCAACGACGGGUAGCUGGUUUGAGAGAACGAUCAGCCACACUGGGACUGAGACACGGCCCAGACUCCUACGGAGGCAGCAGUGGGGAAUCUUGCGCAAUGGGCGAAAGCCUGACGCAGCAACGCCGCGUGCGGGAUGACGGCCUUCGUGGUUGUAAACCGCUUUCAGCAGGACGAAAAUGACGGUACCUGCAGAAGAAGCCCCGGCUAACUACGUGCCAGCAGCCGCGGUAA
RNAcentral lists this ribosomal RNA (480 nucleotides) under uncultured bacterium. RNAcentral describes it as "bacterial SSU rRNA". It matches the Rfam family "Bacterial small subunit ribosomal RNA", at positions 28 to 523 of the family's 1533-position model. The record is from RNAcentral.